This 428-nucleotide ribosomal RNA is filed under the name uncultured bacterium. RNAcentral describes it as "partial 16S ribosomal RNA". It matches the Rfam family "Bacterial small subunit ribosomal RNA", at positions 354 to 796 of the family's 1533-position model. The record is from RNAcentral.
GUGGGGAAUAUUGGGCAAUGGGCGAAAGCCUGACCCAGCAACGCCGCGUGAAGGAAGAAGGCCUUCGGGUUGUAAACUUCUUUUAUGAGGGACGAAGGACGUGACGGUACCUCAUGAAUAAGCCACGGCUAACUACGUGCCAGCAGCCGCGGUAAUACGUAGGUGGCAAGCGUUGUCCGGAUUUACUGGGUGUAAAGGGCGCGUAGGCGGACUGGCAAGUCAGAUGUGAAAUCCAUGGGCUCAACUCAUGAACUGCAUUUGAAACUGUUGGUCUUGAGUGUCGGAGAGGCAAGCGGAAUUCCUAGUGUAGCGGUGAAAUGCGUAGAUAUUAGGAGGAACACCAGUGGCGAAGGCGGCUUGCUGGACGAUAACUGACGCUGAGGCGCGAAAGCGUGGGGAGCAAACAGGAUUAGAUACCCGAGUAGUCC